CUACUUUGAGCUGAGUUGUUAAAAUUCUGGGCAACGUGGAUGAGCCUCUGGGGGUGGUUCUAAGCAGAGCCUGGUGUGGCGGGUCCCGGCUGUCCAGGUGGGAGGUCCUGUGAGCCCUGCACGUGUCCGUGCUGACUUGGAAGUUACCAGAACCCUGUGCGGGAGACCUGCCCCUGUCCCUCAGUCAGGGUGGGCCGGUUCCUCUCACAGAAGCCUUCCUUGGUAGGGGUGCGGGGGAAAGCAGGACCGGGAGCUGACUGGGACUGUUAUUUUUGGAGUACUUUUAAAAUUCCAUUUUUAAAAUGAACACAGUCAAAUUGAGCUUCCCCCUCCCGCAGUGUACACGUCUGAGUCUUAACACGUGGUAGGUGGGUGCACCCCCCAAGGCACUUAGGACGCAGAGCAGGGCCAUCAGUCCAAGACAUCUUCAAGCUGCUCCUCUGUCGUCACGUCCUCUCCUGACCGCUGUCCUCAGUCACCUCUGGCCUGCUCUCCAUCACUGUCCUGUAAAGAGAAUGACAGCACCAUCUGUUGACUUCCGCUGCUCGCUGUGGGAGAGAAGUUUUGAAGACUGGCUUCCGGCUCAGCCUUUGAGAUUCAUCUAAGGACAGGGAGUGAGCCCAGGGUGCUCUAGCCCUGAGCUACAUCCACAGUCCUUCUUUAUUUUGAGACGGGGGUCUCUAAGUUGCCCAGGCUGGACUCGAACCUGUGAACCUCCUGCCUCAGCCUCUGGAGUAGCUGGGACUACAGGAAUAAAUUUCUGAAUACACAAUGGAAGAUACAAACCAGAUUCCUGUGGACCUGCUCACAUUUCAGGCUGAAGAACAGACAUGAGGGCCACUGUGGGCCAUGCCUCCUGACCCAUCCAGACCAGAGACCUCGAGCUGAUUUCCUCAGUUCAUGAACUCCCCCCUCUCCAGCCAGUGCUUGUUGGGAGGGUCUCCCACCAACACGGAGAGCAGAUGUGUACUCUGUGUGUCUCACAGUCCUUGGAGUUGCAGGAUGUCUCCAUGAAUGAGCCAUCUGCGAAUUCCUCGACCUACCUAGGGCUGGAAAGGAAAUGAGGAAAGCCUGCGUCCUGGCCUGGGAUGAAGAGGAUGGGAUCCUGUCUCCCUCAUUUCACCACAGGGAAAGCCAUCUUCUGAGUACGAAGCAGAAAAGAGCACUUGAGUAUAAUUUAUUUAUUCGCCUAAUUUGCUAAUGUGCAUGGAUGAGCUUAUUGAUCGCUCUGGCGCAGAAACGGUGGCCUCCCCUGCCCGGGGUGCACAAGGAGCUUGGAUCUGGCCACGUCUUCCUGGACGUCCCCUCUUUGUUCUGCUGCCCCUCUUUCCUUUUGUGCCGUAAGAUACCUUCAACCUUCUUGUUGAGAGAUCAAUAAGAAGAGAUGUCAUUUGUGAAUUUCGUAAUGACAUCCUGAAAGUGGUUGAAUAAUACAGCAGUCUGUGAUGGGAGAGAGGAGGGGAGGCUUCUUGUCCUGCUCUCUGAUCUCAGUCCAAACCAGGGUGGUGUCUGUUGUCAUUUUCAUCCAAGAAGCUGUGUGUCAGGCUCUGUCCCCUGCUUUCUUCAAAGAACCCCUCUCCCCCUGCAUAGAUGCCUGAUGUCUCCUAGCAUCCAUCCAUACCCAGGAUCACCCCACCCCUGGCCUGGAGCAGCCUGGCCCUGAGCUGGGUCCCUGGAGGCCGGGAUGCAGAGAGAUCAGAUGUAAUAAUGCCAGGACUCAGCGUCAGGUGAGACGGCAUGGGGUGGGGGUGGGGCGAAUGCCACUCGGACUCCAUGGCCAGGUUCAAGGCCCCUCCUUUCAUCCUGGUUCUCUUCCAGGUCCCUUGUCCCCUGGCUCAGUCCUCCACCUGGGCGCCGCUUGAGAAGUGCUAUCUUUUUUCUAGUCGGUACCCUGUCCCAGGAAAACAGUUAGACCCCUGUACCCCAACCUGUGGGCCCCUCUAUGACCUAAAGACAGAGCCACCUCUGUGUAUCUCCUGCUCCUGGGUGAUCUGCCACUCAUCACCUGUUACUGGUCCUUGGAGACUAGGGUCCCCCUGCCUGCCAGGGCCUCCUCCAUCACCUGCCAGGUGCUCCCACCCACCUCCCCCAGCACUCUGUGGACAUGCCCCCUGAGUGGUCCCAGCCCCUCCUGCACCCCGCAGGCCACUCCAUCCUCUGCCCUCUCCCUGGGAGUGGAGCUCCUGUGCAUGGUGGAGAUCAAAAGUGGCCACUGGCAAGGCCCUCUUCAGGUUGCUCUAGGACUCAUUGGCCAAAGUGUGGUGCCCACACCCCUGAUGGAAUCAGGUGCUUUGGGGAGGGACACUGAAGCACUUAAUUUGCACAGUGACCACAUAUAGUCUACCUCGGCUCAGAGUCUAUGGACCCCAGACAGACUGAAAACCUGACAUGAGGGCCACUGUGGCUCCUCUGCUCAUCAGCUGUGGAACCUCAGCAAGUUACUGAUCAUGUCUGUGUCUCAUUUGUUACAUGGGCAUGAUAAUAAUGGCCCCUACCUCAUAAGAUGCCUAUGUGGACCAAAAUGAGCGAAUGCAUGUGAAACGGUAAGUUGAAACGUUAAUGUUAAGAGCACGCAGGGAUUGCACCUCAUGAAAGUUGUUGAUUAUUUUGUAAAUAUUAGUAUUUAAAUUUUAGCUAAUUAAAAAGAGAAGUGAGUUUGUUUAAAAAAUAUGUAAAUGAUAAUACAGUUGAUACUUAAACAUUGAGAGGUGAGUACACCCAACUGGGAAGGCUGAGCUGCUGCAACAGAUCUCCCAGAUUCAGUGGUAUCCAGUACUUGAGUAUUUUCUUGAUGGAGGAUAGGUACCUCAGGUUAGCAGGUAAUUUUCCUGCAUGUGGUGUUUCUGGGCCCCAGGGUCCCUGUGUCUCAUUGUCAUCAUGUGCAUAGCAAUGCCCAGGUUGAUGCCUUCAGGUUCUAGUGCACGGAGAGGGGCAAGGAACAGCACGAAGAGGCCCCGGGAGCUCUGACGGUCCCUCCCCCAGAGGCGGUACUUGCUCUCCAGCUCAUAUUUGAGCAAAACUUAUCGCAGAACUCACACCUGGCUGCAAGGGAGCCUGGGAAAGGAGUCUAUCAGGUCUCAGGCUUUGAUGGCAGCUAACUGACUUGGAAGGUGGGCCCAGUCUACUCCUGAGAGUUCUUAUAAGUGGACGAUCUUUUCAGACUACGGCUGGAGAACCAGAAAGAUGGCAGCAUGAGAAGAACUCAGCCUAACGCUGCUGGCUUCGGAGACCAAGGAAGCGCCAUGAUCCAAGCAAACUGGGAAGCUCUAAAAACUGAUGGUGAAAUUUAAUCCUGGCUGAAAACAGGCAUUAAGAUACGGGAUCAGGUGCAGGGAUUGCACAUUAAAGGUGAUUAGGGCAGGAGUGCUUUUCCUCCUGAAGGAUUAAGCCAUUUGCAGGUUAAGGGAUUAGUGGGCUAUCUUAAGAGUGGGUUUGUCAUAAAAGUCAGUUUGACUCUGUCUCUUGGAUGUGACCCUCUUGCUAUGUGGCACCCUUUACUACCUUUGAGGUCUGAGAGGGUCUCCAGCAAGGAAGAGCCCAAGAUGUGCCCCUCCAUGGAAGGACUCCCAGCCUCAGAGGCAUGAGCUGCACAGUCCUCGACUCCUUGCAAGCCACCUGGCCACUCCGCCACAGCCACAGAAACAGACCAGCCCAGACCCAGAGGACCCCCAGAAGGGCAUGUGGCCCUGUCAGUGCUUUGAUCUUAACCCAGAGAGGUCCAUGCCAGACUUCUGUCCUCCAGAACUGUAAGAUAGGAAAGCUGUGCUGUUUUAGGACACCAGGUGGCCAGGGAUUUUUCACAAUAGCAAUUGAAAAAAAUCACAUGAGAACCCAUAUCCCUGGUUGAGAAGAAAUGUUAAAAAAGAAGGAUGGAGACACCAAAAACCAUUGACGGUAACCAGAGGUGAGGGGACAUGGGUGACAACCAAGGAGGCUGAGGGUCUGGGGACAGUCCAUUUACUUGUCCUUGGCCAUGAAGUAAGCUAAUGCUGGCCAAGGCACAACCCCAAGGAUUUCCAUUCAUCCCUGAAAGUCACCUACACUGUGGGGACCCCAGAAGCCCUGCUCAUUCCCAUAGUCCUGGCAGAGAGCUCGGGCUGUUCAAGUGAACUGUCACUGGGCCUUUUCUCCAAUCAAGCUUCCCAUUCAGCAAAACAACCCAAGAAGCUGUGGUUGCAAAGGCCACCCUCCAGAGGCUCCGUGACACCCCCAGGUAGCCAGUCUUGAACCCAAGCCACCAACCUUUACACAGAAGUCGUUCCAGCAAAUAUAAAAUGAGGAAAGCAACAUGGGGCUCAUGAACUCACAUCCGCAUGGCAGGUUGUGGGCAAAUGAAACUCCAUCCAAAACACCCAGAGAUGGGUUCUAGACUUCAGAGAGAGGAUGGAAUCAGGGCCUAAUAAAUGCCUCGAGCUCACCCCCACCUCCCCGAGUACCCAUCCUUUUUCUGGCCAGCUGGGAGCACGACUUGAUGGGCAGGACCAGGACUGGUUGGGCAGGGCAGUUCCGGUGUGGGACUGAGUGUGGAAGCCUUCUGGAGCCUUCUGGCCCUUUCACAAAUCAUGCCUCCCUGAGCCCCUGGUUGUCCCCUGCCUUUGCCAGCUGCCUGGUCCACUGGGGCCUGAGUCCUCUGAGCAGUGUCAGUCUCACGUAGUGGUGGUGAUGUUGUGCAGGGAAAGCUCACCCCUGCCUCUCCUCCAUGUACCCAAAGCCAGCUCAGCCCCCAUCCCUGCUCUUCCCCAGGAGCAAGUGACAGUGACCAGGUGCUGCAGGCCUUGGGAGGCUCCUCCUGCUCGCUGAUGGCUCAUUUUCACUUACAGCAUACAAAGACAGUCUCAGGGUUCUACAAACGUUUACUAAAUCAAGAAAAGAUGCACACAUCAAUGAGAGGCUUCAGCUGAGCUACAUUUCAGGAGAGCGUUGCAGGCCAGGCAGCACCCGGGGUGUCAUCUGGGGGCUGUAAGUGAAAAGAUGGGCACAGAGACAGAAGGAGAGAGAGGGCAUGUGCUAGGGCAGACGGCUCGACUGGUUCCCCAAGGGCCGUGACUCUGUGCAUAAGCAAGACAAGGUGGGACAGGCCCAGCUCACCAUCCCCAGGGGUAGGUCACAUUGUUUCUCCCAACAAGAAUGUAAUAACUUUGGUGUUGUGCUUUAUUUGCUAUUUCCCUCUCCUCCUAGACAAUAAGCUCCAAGUGUGCAGAGAAUAUCUGUCUCUGUGCUCUGCACAGAAUGGUACACUGCAAGCACUCAAUAAAUGUUUAAUGACUAAGUCAUUGAAUAGACACUUCACGGAUUGGCAGAUCAAUCUGUGGAUGAUCUGUUGAUUAAAAAGGUGCCCAGAUUAAGAACUCUUUUGAUGGGGCUUCCAUGGAGGAGCUGGUGGCUGAACUGGAACUUUAGACUCUUGAGUUUUAGAGGUGAUCCAACAGCAGAGAGAAGCCUUGGGUCAAGUUCAGCCCCAGGGCUGGUGUGCACUUGGCAGGCAGAGAGCUGCUGAUUGCUUUUUCAGGGUGGACUGUUGGGAAAAGAUGUGGAACAGUGUGCUUUCGUGUACAUAUUUAUUUAGGACUUGUGUACACGUGGGACUGUGGGUAUGAAUUGUGUCUAUUAGAUCACAGAGGUUCUGUGUCUGCUGCCUGCUUUCCAGUGGGUGCUGUGUGCCCACCCUCUGAUGAGCUGCUGGUGAGCCUGGGGCAAGAGGUGUGGCCUGGAUGGGGGACCUGGUGCUGAUGCCUGUUUCCCCCAAUGCCUAGGCUUCCUCAGGGAUGGUGAUUUUAACGGCAAUAGCAAUGCCCAAUAUUUAUUGAGUACUGAGAGGCUGAAAUACAAACAAUGGCCAGACCAAAGACAAUAGGACCUCACUUUCCAACCCUGCAUCAAUCCGCCCAGAAAGCCAAUCCGUAACCUCCCAGCAUUCUGUUGUAACAGCCAGGCCCUGCCAUGAGCUUCUGGAUGCCCUGCUUCCUCCCCAGGAUCGACCAAAGCAAGCCUAACCAACUCCCCCAACUAGUCACACGGUUAACCUUUCUGGUUAGCCUACCUCUGGCUUCCCCAGGCCAUCAGCCUCCAAUCAGAGCACACGCGAAACCCUCUGUUUUUCCACGAUAAAUGCUCCCUCCCCUCUGUGUGCCCUUGAGCUUCUGUCCAGCACAAAUGAUGGUGAACCACCCCCUUGCAAUACCAAGCCCUGAAUAAACAGCCUGUGUUUGUUCCCA
Molecule: non-coding RNA, 6215 nt
Organism: Ictidomys tridecemlineatus (thirteen-lined ground squirrel)
Lineage: Eukaryota; Metazoa; Chordata; Mammalia; Rodentia; Sciuridae
Source: RefSeq, a predicted model, not a curated record